GACGAACGCUGGCGGCGUGGAUUAGGCAUGCAAGUCGGACGGUAGGGCUUUAUCGUAAGAUAGAGUUUGAGAGUGGCGAACGGGUGAGUAACACGUAGGAAUCUACCCUUAAGACGGGGACAACCCAGGGAAACUUGGGCUAAUACCGGAUGUGAGCAACUUUUAGUUGUUUGAAAGGUGGCGUAAGCUGUCGCUUGGGGAUGAGCCUGCGUCCUAUUAGUUAGUUGGUGAGGUAACGGCUCACCUAGGCAAUGAUAGGUAGGCGGCCUUAACGGGUGGUCGCCCACACUGGGAUUGAGAUACGGCCCAGACUCCUACGGGAGGCAGCAGUCGAGAAUAGUCUACAAUGGUCGGAAGACUGAUAGUGCGACGCCGCGUGAACGAUGAAUCCCUUCGGGGUGUAAAGUUCUUUUAUAUGUGAGCAGUGCUUCUUAUAUUAACAGUAUGGGGAGAGAGAUAUUAGCAUAUGAAUAAGCAACGGCUAACUCCGUGCCAGCAGCCGCGGUAAACA
RNAcentral lists this ribosomal RNA (511 nucleotides) under uncultured bacterium. Its description in RNAcentral is "bacterial SSU rRNA". It matches the Rfam family "Bacterial small subunit ribosomal RNA", at positions 28 to 525 of the family's 1533-position model. The record is from RNAcentral.